Molecule: unclassified non-coding RNA, 347 nt
Filed under: soil metagenome
Description: partial contains 5.8S ribosomal RNA, internal transcribed spacer 2, and large subunit ribosomal RNA
Rfam family: 5.8S ribosomal RNA (bases 1-120)
Source: RNAcentral
GAUGAAGAACGCAGCGAACUGCGAUAAGUAAUGUGAAUUGCAGAAUUCAGUGAAUCAUCGAGUCUUUGAACGCACAUUGCGCCCCCUGGCAUUCCGGGGGGCAUGCCUGUCCGAGCGUCAUUGCUGCCCUUCAAGCCCGGCUUGUGUGUUGGGUCGUCGUCCCCCCCGGGGGACGGGCCCGAAAGGCAGCGGCGGCACCGCGUCCGGUCCUCGAGCGUAUGGGGCUUUGUCACCCGCUCGAUUAGGGCCGGCCGGGCGCCAGCCGGCGUCUCCAACCUUCUAUUUUACCAGGUUGACCUCGGAUCAGGUAGGGAUACCCGCUGAACUUAAGCAUAUCAAUAAGAGGA